GGGUGAGUAACACGUAAACAACCUGCCUUCAGGAUGGGGACAACAGACGGAAACGACUGCUAAUACCGAAUAAGUUCCAAGAGCCGCAUGGCCCAUGGAAGAAAAGGUGGCCUCUACCUGUAAGCUAUCGCCUGAAGAGGGGUUUGCGUCUGAUUAGCUGGUUGGAGGGGUAACGGCCCACCAAGGCGACGAUCAGUAGCCGGUCUGAGAGGAUGAACGGCCACACUGGAACUGAGACACGGUCCAGACUCCUACGGGAGGCAGCAGUGGGGAAUCUUCCGCAAUGGGCGAAAGCCUGACGGAGCAACGCCGCGUGAGUGAUGACGGCCUUCGGGUUGUAAAACUCUGUGAUCCGGGACGAAAAGGCAGAGUGCGAAGAACAAACUGCAUUGACGGUACCGGAAAAGCAAGCCACGGCUAACUACGUGCCAGCAGCCGCGGUAAUACGUAGGUGGCAAGCGUUGUCCGGAAUUAUUGGGCGUAAAGCGCGCGCA
This 494-nucleotide ribosomal RNA is filed under the name uncultured bacterium. RNAcentral's name for it is "bacterial SSU rRNA". It matches the Rfam family "Bacterial small subunit ribosomal RNA", at positions 104 to 573 of the family's 1533-position model. The record is from RNAcentral.